GACGUAGGGGGCCAGCGUUGCUCGGAAUUACUGGGCGUAAAGGGCGCGUAGGCGGCUUGGCAAGUUGGAUGUGAAAGCCCAGGGCUCAACCCUGGAAUUGCAUUCAAAACUGCUUUGCUUGAAUUCGGUAGAGGUUGGUGGAAUUCCCAGUGUAGAGGUGAAAUUCGUAGAGAUUGGGAAGAACACCCGUGGCGAAGGCGGCCAACUGGACCGACAUUGACGCUGAGGCGCGAAAGCGUGGGGAUCAAACAGG
This 253-nucleotide ribosomal RNA is filed under the name uncultured bacterium. Its description in RNAcentral is "partial 16S ribosomal RNA". It matches the Rfam family "Bacterial small subunit ribosomal RNA", at positions 524 to 776 of the family's 1533-position model. The record is from RNAcentral.